GCCCACUUAGCUCAGAGGUCAGAGCAUCGCAUUUGUAAUCCGAGGGUCAUCGGUUCAAAUCCAAUAGUCAGCU
Molecule: non-coding RNA, 73 nt
Organism: Triticum urartu
Lineage: Eukaryota; Viridiplantae; Streptophyta; Magnoliopsida; Poales; Poaceae
Source: Rfam